GACCAACCCUUGACAUCCUCGGACCGCCAGAGAGAUUUGGCUUUCACUUCGGUGACCGAGUGACAGGUGCUGCAUGGCUGUCGUCAGCUCGUGUCGUGAGAUGUUCGGUUAAGUCCGGCAACGAGCGCAACCCACAUCCUUAGUUGCCAGCAGUUCGGCUGGGCACUCUAAGGAAACUGCCCGUGAUAAGCGGGAGGAAGGUGUGGAUGACGUCAAGUCCUCAUGGCCCUUACGGGUUGGGCUACACACGUGCUACAAUGGCAGUGACAAUGGGUUAAUCCCAAAAAACUGUCUCAGUUCGGAUUGGGGUCUGCAACUCGACCCCAUGAAGUCGGAAUCGCUAGUAAUCGCGUAACAGC
Molecule: ribosomal RNA, 359 nt
Filed under: Paracoccaceae bacterium
Lineage: Bacteria; Pseudomonadati; Pseudomonadota; Alphaproteobacteria; Rhodobacterales; Paracoccaceae
Description: bacterial SSU rRNA
Rfam family: Bacterial small subunit ribosomal RNA
Source: RNAcentral